UCCAGACUCCUACGGGAGGCAGCAGUGGGGGAUAUUGCACAAUGGGGGAAACCCUGAUGCAGCGACGCCGCGUGAGUGAAGAAGUAUUUCGGUAUGUAAAGCUCUCUCAGCAGGGAAGAAAAAAGACGGUACCUGACUAAGAAGCCCCGGCUAACUACGUGCCAGCAGCCGCGGUAAUACGUAGGGGGCAAGCGUUAUCCGGAUUUACUGGGUGUAAAGGGAGCGUAGACGGCAUGGCAAGUCAGAUGUGAAAGCCCGGGGCUCAACCCCGGGACUGCAUUUGAAACUGUCAGGCUGGAGUGCAGGAGAGGUAAGUGGAAUUCCUAGUGUAGCGGUGAAAUGCGUAGAUAUUAGGAGGAACACCAGUGGCGAAGGCGGCUUACUGGACUGUAACUGACGUUGAGGCUCGAAAGCGUGGGGAGCAAACAGGAUUAGAUACCCCGGUACGA
RNAcentral lists this ribosomal RNA (449 nucleotides) under uncultured bacterium. Its description in RNAcentral is "bacterial SSU rRNA". It matches the Rfam family "Bacterial small subunit ribosomal RNA", at positions 330 to 794 of the family's 1533-position model. The record is from RNAcentral.